UGCAAACUUGCUAAGGGUUUGCACCAUGAGGUGGGGAAGGGGCUGGAGGUAGAGCAAGAGAGCUCAUGAAAGCCCUGGGAAUAUAAGGAAAAUGCCUUGAGUGAUCGCUCCUGUUGGGUUCCACCGCCUCUGAUUUCAAGAGCGCCCGAGGGUGCUGUGAUUGAAAGUUACAGAAAGCUCAUUAAACCGGGCCUGGUGCAAGAGAAAAUGGAUGUACACAGAACAUUCUUGGUGGGAAUCCUCCCAGUGGCCCUCAGUCACCGUGACGUUGACAACAAUCAUUUGGUUCAGAGAUGAUGAACAGCAGCCAAGAGUCUGCUGGGUGCCAGGAUACCAUGCAGGCUGCAAACAAUCAGUUCAGAGACUUCAGAAGCAGCGUGAGAAGUGUUUCUAGAACCUUCCAUGUCAUGGAUGAGAAACCUCGCUGCCAACAAGGUAUCUGUGUCUUCUGUUCAUGGGAUCCCUACCUUCUGCUCAGGAUCCAGAGGAGAGGCUUAACUGGAGAACACAGCUACAGAAUCCAGCAGGAGUGUGAGUCUGCCUCUCCAGUCAGUCUGGCACCUCUGUCUCCACCCAAGAGCAUCUUUGAGACCUCAUAGAGCUAAGAAUUGUGUGUGCACUGGGGCCCCAUCCUCUCUCCAGCCUGGUGAAGACCCUUGACCUUGUAGCCCAUGCUUGCCCCUCAGACUCUCUCAGCUCCUGCAGACUCUCCCAUGCUCUCCAGCCUUUCUCCAGAGCACUUCUCAUGUCUGGCAUUUCCUGCUUGACCCUAAGUCAAGUGAGACAAAUGUUAGACUGGUCCCCCAGGAUCUUAGAGAAUUUACCUUGUAAGAGACAGCCCAUGACACUGUAGGGUUUCUUGAUGAUCAUAUUAAGUCUGAGUAAUUCUCUUCUUUGAGGCCAAGUCCUUUGUCUAAAGAGAAGAUUUGUGGUAUAUAAAAAGGCAAAUGGAGCCAUCUUCAGAGGGCAUGACAAGAAGGAGUGUGGGGGUUAGUCACUUUCUUUUCUAAAUGACAUCUCUCUCUUCUUCUGUGAGUUGAAAUCUACUAUCUUCCUGAAAACAGAGUGGGGGCAGAGUCCCAGAAUCCACUUAGCCAUGAACAUCUGUGUACUGGGUGCCAACCUAUUGGCCUGAUAUCAAAAGUCACUGUCUUCCACAAUGAAUAUCUGAGGCUGAGAUGGAAGCUGCUUAAGAUCUACAAGUUGAGCGUGUUAGCUUUUAACUUUCACAUAAAACAGAAUAAAAAAUUACCAAAUGUCAAAAAAAAAAGGC
This is a non-coding RNA of Arvicanthis niloticus (Nile rat), 1273 nucleotides long. The record is from RefSeq and is a predicted model, not a curated record. NCBI's taxonomy places the organism in Eukaryota, Metazoa, Chordata, Mammalia, Rodentia, Muridae.